Long non-coding RNA from Tympanuchus pallidicinctus (lesser prairie-chicken), 206 nucleotides. RefSeq lists it as uncharacterized. The transcript is spliced from 3 exons. NCBI's taxonomy places the organism in Eukaryota, Metazoa, Chordata, Aves, Galliformes, Phasianidae. The record is from RefSeq and is a predicted model, not a curated record.
GAUGGAUGAUCUUCAUUGCUCCUCCUCACCACUUCAGGAUGAACAUUGCAGUGGGCAUACCAUGGAGCCAGACCACCAGCAGAGCAUUAAACAAGGACAGAUGUGAAUGCCAGGAUAAAAAUGAAGACAUUCCUGAAGUGCUUACUGAAGCUGUUGUCAAUAGUGUUUCAGAACUUUACAAGUUUUCCUGACCCAGCUUUGAGCAG